Molecule: ribosomal RNA, 298 nt
Filed under: Salmonella enterica subsp. enterica serovar Anatum
Lineage: Bacteria; Pseudomonadati; Pseudomonadota; Gammaproteobacteria; Enterobacterales; Enterobacteriaceae
Also listed under: 1 other name
Description: partial 23S ribosomal RNA
Rfam family: Bacterial large subunit ribosomal RNA
Source: RNAcentral
AAGGCGAGGCCGAAAGGCGUAGUCGAUGGGAAACGGGUUAAUAUUCCCGUACUUGGUGUUACUGCGAAGGGGGGACGGAGAAGGCUAUGUUGGCCGGGCGACGGUUGUCCCGGUUUAAGCGUGUAGGCUGGUUUUCCAGGCAAAUCCGGAAAAUCAAGGCUGAGGCGUGACGACGAGGCACUACGGUGCUGAAGCAACAAAUGCCCUGCUUCCAGGAAAAGCCUCUAAGCAUCAGGUAACAUCAAAUCGUACCCCAAACCGACACAGGUGGUCAGGUAGAGAAUACCAAGGCGCUUGA